GCUUACGGCCAUACCAGCCUGGGUACGCCCGAUCUCGUCUGAUCUCGGAAGCUAAGCAGGGUCGGGCCUCGUUAGUACUUGGAUGGGAGACUGCCUGGGAAUACCAGUUGCUGUAAGCA
Molecule: ribosomal RNA, 119 nt
Filed under: Salmo salar (Atlantic salmon)
Lineage: Eukaryota; Metazoa; Chordata; Actinopteri; Salmoniformes; Salmonidae
Source: RNAcentral